Molecule: ribosomal RNA, 489 nt
Filed under: uncultured bacterium
Lineage: Bacteria
Description: partial 16S ribosomal RNA
Rfam family: Bacterial small subunit ribosomal RNA
Source: RNAcentral
AUUGAACGCUGGCGGCAGGCCUAACACAUGCAAGUCGAACGGUAACAGGAAGCAGCUUGCUGCUUUGCUGACGAGUGGCGGACGGGUGAGUAAUGUCUGGGAAACUGCCUGAUGGAGGGGGAUAACUACUGGAAACGGUAGCUAAUACCGCAUACCGUCGCAAGACCAAAGAGGGGGACUUUCGGGCCCUUGCCCUUCGGAUGUGCCAGAUGGGAUUAGCUAGUAGGUGGGGUAACGGCUCACCUAGGCGACGAUCCCUAGCUGGUCUGAGAGGAUGACCAGCCACACUGGAACUGAGACACGGUCCAGACUCCUACGGGAGGCAGCAGUGGGGAAUAUUGCACAAUGGGCGCAAGCCUGAUGCAGCCAUGCCGCGUGUAUGAAGAAGGCCUUCGGGUUGUAAAGUACUUUCAGCGGGGAGGAAGGGAGUAAAGUUAAUACCUUUGCUCAUUGACGUUACCCGCAGAAGAAGCACCGGCUAACUCCGUG